Molecule: ribosomal RNA, 204 nt
Filed under: uncultured bacterium
Lineage: Bacteria
Description: partial 16S ribosomal RNA
Rfam family: Bacterial small subunit ribosomal RNA
Source: RNAcentral
UGCGUAGGUGGUUUCUUAAGUCAGGAGUGAAAGGCUACGGCUCAACCGUAGUAAGCUCUUGAAACUGGGAAACUUGAGUACAGGAGAGGAAAGUGGAAUUCCUAGUGUAGCGGUGAAAUGCGUAGAUAUUAGGAGGAACACCAGUAGCGAAGGCGCCUUUCUGGACUGUGUCUGACGCUGAGAUGCGAAAGCCAGGGUAGCAAC